This 1323-nucleotide long non-coding RNA is filed under the name Gallus gallus (chicken). RNAcentral describes it as "lncRNA (ENSGALG00010015377.1)". Lineage: Eukaryota; Metazoa; Chordata; Aves; Galliformes; Phasianidae. The record is from RNAcentral.
CUGUUUCCUCUUAGGUAUUAGCAGCAGAGUGCCCCUGUGUUUCUCCAUCCAUCAUGGCCUGGCAUGGCAUGCACAUGGCCGUGUGGCUGGUGGGGAGUGGGGGGGCGGGGAGGGGGGAAAGGAAAAUCAGCCAUCACAGAGUCUUUUGCGAAUGCACUGCUGCUCUUUGUGUUUUAUUUGAAGAAAUGAUUAGAGUUUAUUUUAUUGCCAGGAAAGGCUGCCAGCCUUUAUGAUGACAAAAUUGCUGAGUUUACUAGGAAGUUUAUUUAUAUAGGCCUUGAAAGACAGACUCUCCCAUGACAGACACCAGCGAAGACCUGGGUUUGCUGGGUCUCCUGUUUCCCCUAACUGUUCUGCUGACAUGUUAACCCUUUGCUCUGACAGAUUCCUGAGAAAUGAGCAAUUAAGAGCAAAAAUCUGUACAAGAUACCCCUUCCUUGUGGGGAAACUGGGUAUUCAAGGAACUCUGGGCUGGAAACCUGAAGGAACAAACGGGUUGGCAGACGUUUAUUGCUGGUACUGUGGGCCACCCCCAGCUAUGGCUAACAUAACCACAGGGAUAGCAGACAUCUUCCCAGGAGGAGAUGGUUUUAGAGUGAUCUACCACGUCCUGCCAUGCAUGUCAACUCUGGGACAAGUGAUGCCAUUAGAAGUCCUCUCAUCUCCCACUGAUGCCCCUGUUGCAGCAAUGGAAUCACCAGAAGAUCUCCCACCACCAAAAAAAACCCACAUUUUGGGGAGGGCAGAAUUGUGAUGAAUUUAAGACUCGGCAAGACAAUGAGUUUUAGGGUAAGAAAUACGUGUUUAAAUUUUCUUAGGUGUCAAAAUGCUCUGCUUUGACACAUUAAAAACGAAAAGGUUUCGUUUGGAAAAUUUCCAAGUGUGUCAUUUCAUCGUUAAUAUUCAUUCACUAAUAUUAUUUUCUUCUAUAAAGUGGACUGACCUGGGAAGGUAUCCAAAACAGACCAGAAUGAAUUAAAUAAGAAGAUUCGUAUUUCACCUUCAUUCCUGGUGCUUGUUUUGUUUUAGAGAAAAAGAAAUGCCCCCAGUUCUGCUCCAGCUCUGAUCUAACUUUCUUCCACAUGUUCAUCAAACAAGAGAGAUCAACCCUCUUCCCUCAUCACAGUCUUCAACCAGCACCUCAGUUCUACUGCUUGGCCUGGAAAAGCCUUUUAUCAGGCAGUGACGAUGGCAGGCAGUUAUCCUCUAUGGACGAAUGACAGAAGAGGAUCCUAAACAUAAUUUACAAAGACCUGCCCUGCUGGUGGAUGGAAGAAAAGGGAGACCCAGGAGAAGGCUCUCUGUAAUUGCUUGAGAGGAAAU